GUUAACGUAGCUNAGCUAAAGCAUAACACUGAAGUUNUUAAGACAAACCCUAGAUAGGUUUCGUAAACA
RNAcentral lists this transfer RNA (69 nucleotides) under Nothobranchius ocellatus. RNAcentral's name for it is "tRNA-Phe". The record is from RNAcentral. Lineage: Eukaryota; Metazoa; Chordata; Actinopteri; Cyprinodontiformes; Nothobranchiidae.